RNAcentral lists this ribosomal RNA (481 nucleotides) under uncultured bacterium. RNAcentral's name for it is "partial 16S ribosomal RNA". It matches the Rfam family "Bacterial small subunit ribosomal RNA", at positions 30 to 506 of the family's 1533-position model. The record is from RNAcentral.
AUUGAACGCUGGCGGCAUGCUUUACACAUGCCAGUCGAACGGUAACAGCACUUCGGUGGCUGACGAGUGGCGAACGGGUGAGUAAUACAUCGGAACGUGCCUAGUAGUGGGGGAUAACUACUCGAAAGAGUAGCUAAUACCGCAUGAGAUCUAAGGAUGAAAGCAGGGGACCUUCGGGCCUUGCGCUACUAGAGCGGCUGAUGGCAGAUUAGGUAGUUGGUGGGAUAAAAGCUUACCAAGCCGACGAUCUGUAGCUGGUCUGAGAGGACGACCAGCCACACUGGGACUGAGACACGGCCCAGACUCCUACGGGAGGCAGCAGUGGGGAAUUUUGGACAAUGGGCGCAAGCCUGAUCCAGCAAUGCCGCGUGCAGGAUGAAGGCCUUCGGGUUGUAAACUGCUUUUGUACGGAACGAAAAGCCCUCUUCUAAUACAGGAGGGUCAUGACGGUACCGUAAGAAUAAGCACCGGCUAACUACGU